This 618-nucleotide ribosomal RNA is filed under the name uncultured fungus. RNAcentral describes it as "eukaryotic LSU rRNA". The stretch from base 249 to 402 matches the Rfam family "5.8S ribosomal RNA". The record is from RNAcentral. Lineage: Eukaryota; Fungi.
CUUGGUCAUUUAGAGGAAGUAAAAGUCGUAACAAGGUUUCCGUAGGUGAACCUGCGGAAGGAUCAUUAAAGAGUAAGGGUGCUCAGCGCCCGACCUCCAACCCUUUGUCGUUAAAACUACCUUGUUGCUUUGGCGGGACCGCUCGGUCUCGAGCCGCUGGGGAUUCGUCCCAGGCGAGCGCCCGCCAGAGUUAAACCAAACUCUUGUUAUUUAACCGGUCGUCUGAGUUAAAAUUUUGAAUAAAUCAAAACUUUCAACAACGGAUCUCUUGGUUCUCGCAUCGAUGAAGAAUGCAGCGAAAUGCGAUAAGUAAUGUGAAUUGCAGAAUUCAGUGAAUCAUCGAAUCUUUGAACGCACAUUGCGCCCCUUGGUAUUCCGAGGGGCAUGCCUGUUCGAGCGUCAUCUACACCCUCAAGCUCUGCUUGGUGUUGGGCGUCUGUCCCGCCUCUGCGCGCGGACUCGCCCCAAAUUCAUUGGCAGCGGUCUUUGCCUCCUCUCGCGCAGCACAAUUGCGUCUGCGGGGGGGCGUGGCCCGCGUCCACGAAGCAACAUUACCGUCUUUGACCUCGGAUCAGGUAGGGAUACCCGCUGAACUUAAGCAUAUCAAUAAGCGGAGGA